This 253-nucleotide ribosomal RNA is filed under the name uncultured bacterium. Its description in RNAcentral is "partial 16S ribosomal RNA". It matches the Rfam family "Bacterial small subunit ribosomal RNA", at positions 524 to 776 of the family's 1533-position model. The record is from RNAcentral.
UACGAGGGGGGCGAGCGUUGUUCGGAUUUACUGGGCGUAAAGCGCGCGUAGGCGGGAAGAGAAGUCCGGUGGGAAAGCCCACGGCUCAACCGUGGAAGAACGCUGGAAACUCUCAUUCUUGAGGGCGGCAGAGGGAAGUGGAAUUGCUGGUGUAGCGGUGAAAUGCGUAGAUAUCAGCAGGAACACCCGUGGCGAAGGCGGCUUCCUGGGCCGCCCCUGACGCUGAGGCGCGAAAGCGUGGGGAGCGAACGGG